Molecule: long non-coding RNA, 2227 nt
Filed under: Lactuca sativa (garden lettuce)
Lineage: Eukaryota; Viridiplantae; Streptophyta; Magnoliopsida; Asterales; Asteraceae
Description: long non-coding RNA (LSAT_LNC007602)
Source: RNAcentral
GCCUUUCUAAGUUAUAUUUUGUACAACUAAUUGAGUGUUUGCUUUCCCUUUCCAAAUUGAACCGUGCACUCCUUCUAUACAAGUAUGGUAUUCUAUAUUUAUAAUCAUCGAUCCAAUCUCAAAAAUGGACUAAGAACAUCAAACCCCACGUCAGUCCCUUCCUGUUUAGGUGACCAAAGCCUAACUCAAACACCCAUUUCCCCUAUCGGUGUCUAUCAAAACAAUCAAAAUCAAAACACCCUUGAAGAUCUUUUGUUAAUGUUCUUCGUUCUUCUUUGAUUUUUAGCCAGGAACCAAAACCAAACGCCCGAGAUAUCCUUGUGUUGAUCUAUCUUCUUUCCCUGCAAUCAAAGGCAAAACCCAAACACAAAUUUCAUCCAUCGAUUUAUGUCAAACAAUCAAACCCAAAAUCUAACUUAAUUCAAUCGAUUUUCUGUCAAAAAUUUAAUCCCAAAGGCCCAAACACCCAAUUAGAUUCUAUUCAUUACUGUGCAGCAAUCAAAAAAAAAAAAAAAAACGACGAAGACCGAAGGAGUUGCAGAAGUAGCCCCAUCCAUUACCUGAAAUCGCUGGAGACCGACGCUUCCUCACGAUCUGUUCCAUCGAUUGGACCAUUAUCUCUUCGAGUUCACCUCAUAGAUAGUUUUCCUCGCAUUCCCUGUUCACCCUUCGAUCGAGCAACGACGCCAACACCCCGUCUUCGUCACUGCUGCUGCUGGGGAUACCUGACCCUUCGCUGCUUCUCCCCUUCGGCCAUCGAACCCCGGAGACAACAAUCCAUCUGGCGAUUGAUCACUGAAAACACGCCUGCUUCAGUGAUACUUCUGCUUGAGACGCCCAGACUUAACGCCUCGCAGCCAGACAAGAAGAGGGAAGCUACGUUGCUUCGGCCUCGCCGAUCCCGGAGACGACAACCUCCCCUCGUCCUUCGAUGGGAGAAUGUCGCCUGCGAAGCCCCGUAACCGCUUCUUGUUUUCCGACGACAACCUCCCUUGUUUUUUUUUUUUUCUUGAUUUGAAGAAAACGGAGACCCCGAUCCCUGUUCUCCCUAUUUCGAUUGUAUUAGCCUAAUCCACCAGAUUAGUCCCUCAUUUUUAUCAAAUAGUAAAAAACAACCCCUCUGUUACGUUAAUAUUACAAUCAGCCCUAACAAUCAUUUGAUUUUGAUAAAGUAACAAAAUAACCCUUCAUUUGACAAAUACCUUACAAGAUCAACCCAAUCCUAAAUCAUUGAAACCAUUUAUCCAAAACAACACCUCGCUUGAGUUAUUUUAACCAAAUCAGUUCUAUUUUGGUUAAUUAUAUUACCAAACUACCCCCAAUAGUUUAUAUUUGUUACGAAAUGGUCCCGAGAGUAUUAAAAAGUUCAAGAAUUAUGGAUUUACGGUUUCUCACGUCAAGUUUCUCAAAGAAACCAAAUUCGAAUGAUUGGAACUCACGCUACGAAUGUAAGUGCUUACGACCCCUUUUUAAUAUUUUAAUUAUUUCCAGGGGGAUNUUCUGGGGCGGAGGACGUCAUAUAUGUAUCACAACAAUGUAAAUUAGUAAACAAGCAACAACAUCAUCCAUCACAUUAAUAGAAUAAUUCUGCUUACAAGUGUGUUCUUUCAUAGUAUAAAACAACAUAAUGAAUACUCAAAAUAAAAGACGAGUCUUGACUGCUCCAUAUUCUCUAAACCUUGCAUCAGUACCUGUCUAUUUGUAACCUGAGAAUACAAGUUAUUUUGAAAGCGAGUAUCAACAAUAAAGUUGGUGAAUUCAUAAGUAUUAUAAUGUUAUCGCUUUGAAAAGUUGUUAUGAAAGACUGGUGAAUGUUUGAUGAAACGUUUAGUAUAAGUAUGAAAACCCUAGAAAAUCUCAUAUUUCCUACUAGUAUAAAAAGUAGUCUUCUACCAAGACGCGAAUGUUUUAAAAGUAGUCUUCUACCAAGACCUGACUGUUUUAAAAGUAGUCUUCUACCAAGACCUGACUGUUUUAAAAGUAGUCUUCUACCAAGACCUGAAUGAUUUGAAAGUAGUCUUCUACCAAGACCUGACUGUUUUGAAAGUACGCAUCACUUGUAAAUGUGACGGUUUUUCCCCUGUUUAACUAUUAUUAUAAAACUAUAAAAGUAAUAGUAUAAUAACUUAUGUUGUAUCCUUUGGUACUAAGAUAUUCUAGUAUAAUCUACCUCGUCGGUUAUGUGAACGUGACACAAAAUAAAUGUAACAAUAUAAUUAUAUAGGUA